AUUGAAGAUAAUAUUAUAUGACUAAGAGUGACUAUAAUAUAUAAUCAAAACGUAAAAUCAUUAGCUAUUAAAUUAUUAGUUUUAAUGUGAUUUUGUGAUUACUGUUAUUUACUAUUAUUAUGGUGAGUAUAAGUGAUUAUAAGAUAACUGUAAUCUUUUCUAUUGAUACAAUUGUGGUUAUAAUAUGACUAUGAGUGAUUAUAAGUGAUAGAAGAUGAUGUAAUUACACAACGAGUUAUAAUUACUUUAUGAAGAUCAUUAUAAUAGAAUAUUAAAUACCAUUGAGGAAAUUGAAUUUCACUGGCGGCAAUAGAGGAGAAACGUCUGAAGUAAUAAAAUGAAAAUAUG
Long non-coding RNA from Apis dorsata (giant honeybee), 348 nucleotides. RefSeq lists it as uncharacterized. Lineage: Eukaryota; Metazoa; Arthropoda; Insecta; Hymenoptera; Apidae. The transcript is spliced from 2 exons. The record is from RefSeq and is a predicted model, not a curated record.